RNAcentral lists this ribosomal RNA (1685 nucleotides) under Proteus mirabilis. RNAcentral describes it as "partial 23S ribosomal RNA". It matches the Rfam family "Bacterial large subunit ribosomal RNA", at positions 1261 to 2925 of the family's 2925-position model. The record is from RNAcentral. Lineage: Bacteria; Pseudomonadati; Pseudomonadota; Gammaproteobacteria; Enterobacterales; Morganellaceae.
CUGUGAGGUAUGCUGGAGGUAUCAGAAGUGCGAAUGCUGACAUAAGUAACGAUAAUGCGGGUGAAAAACCCGCACGCCGGAAGACCAAGGGUUCCUGUCCAACGUUAAUCGGGGCAGGGUGAGUCGACCCCUAAGGCGAGGCUGAAAAGCGUAGUCGAUGGGAAACGGGUUAAUAUUCCCGUACUGGUGGUAACUGCGAUGGGGGAACGGAGAAGGCUAGGUUGUCCGGGCGACGGUCGUCCCGGUUCAAGCAGGUAGGCAGAGUGAUUAGGCAAAUCCGGUCACUUAAUGCUGAGAUGUGAUGACGAACCACCAAGGUGGUGAAGCAAUUGAUGCCCCGCUUCCAGGAAAAGCCUCUAAGCUUCAGGUUACCAACAAUCGUACCCCAAACCGACACAGGUGGUCAGGUAGAGAAUACUCAGGCGCUUGAGAGAACUCGGGUGAAGGAACUAGGCAAAAUGGUGCCGUAACUUCGGGAGAAGGCACGCUGGCGGUAGGUAAAGUCCCUCGCGGACGGCGCUGAAGCCAGUCGAAGAUACCAGCUGGCUGCAACUGUUUAUUAAAAACACAGCACUGUGCAAACACGAAAGUGGACGUAUACGGUGUGACGCCUGCCCGGUGCUGGAAGGUUAAUUGAUGGGGUUAGCCGCAAGGCGAAGCUCCUGAUCGAAGCCCCAGUAAACGGCGGCCGUAACUAUAACGGUCCUAAGGUAGCGAAAUUCCUUGUCGGGUAAGUUCCGACCUGCACGAAUGGCGUAAUGAUGGCCAGGCUGUCUCCACCCGAGACUCAGUGAAAUUGAACUCGCUGUGAAGAUGCAGUGUACCCGCGGCAAGACGGAAAGACCCCGUGAACCUUUACUAUAGCUUGACACUGAACAUUGAGCCUUGAUGUGUAGGAUAGGUGGGAGGCUUUGAAGUGUGGACGCCAGUCUGCAUGGAGCCAACCUUGAAAUACCACCCUUUAACGUUUGAUGUUCUAACCUAGGCCCAUAAACUGGGUCGGGGACCGUGUCUGGUGGGUAGUUUGACUGGGGCGGUCUCCUCCUAAAGAGUAACGGAGGAGCACGAAGGUUGGCUAAGCAUGGUCGGACAUCAUGCGGUUAGUGCAAAGGCAUAAGCCAGCUUGACUGCGAGAGUGACGGCUCGAGCAGGUACGAAAGUAGGUCUUAGUGAUCCGGUGGUUCUGAAUGGAAGGGCCAUCGCUCAACGGAUAAAAGGUACUCCGGGGAUAACAGGCUGAUACCGCCCAAGAGUUCAUAUCGACGGCGGUGUUUGGCACCUCGAUGUCGGCUCAUCACAUCCUGGGGCUGAAGUAGGUCCCAAGGGUAUGGCUGUUCGCCAUUUAAAGUGGUACGCGAGCUGGGUUUAGAACGUCGUGAGACAGUUCGGUCCCUAUCUGCCGUGGGCGUUGGAAGAUUGAGAGGGGUUGCUCCUAGUACGAGAGGACCGGAGUGAACGCACCACUGGUGUUCGGGUUGUCAUGCCAAUGGCAUUGCCCGGUAGCUAAGUGCGGAAGAGAUAACCGCUGAAAGCAUCUAAGCGGGAAACUUGCCUCGAGAUGAGUCUUCCCUGUCGCUUUAAGCGACCUAAAGGAACGUUUAAGACUAAGACGUUGAUAGGCUGGGUGUGUAAGCGUAGCGAUACGUUGAGCUAACCAGUACUAAUGAACCGUGAGGCUUAACCUG